Molecule: long non-coding RNA, 9075 nt
Organism: Equus caballus (horse)
Lineage: Eukaryota; Metazoa; Chordata; Mammalia; Perissodactyla; Equidae
Source: Ensembl
GUGAGUAGCGUGUCUCCACGUGACCGGAUCUUGUUAGCCGGGCCCGCCCCUGUCACGUGAGCGCGCGCGCGCCUCUCUUCCUGCUUUCCUGACCCUCUCCGCCAUUUAAAGAAACAGUACCGGGGGCGGGCCGAGCGACGCAGCCGGGACGGUAGCUGCGGCGCAGACCGGAGGAGCCAUCUUGUCUCGUCGCCGGGGAGUCAGGCCCCUAACUCGAAGAAGCCCUGGCGCGCCCUCCCCCCCUUCCCGGUCUGGGAGGAAACUGAGGCCUAGAUGUCAUUUGGGACCCUUCACAACCAAUUUGAAGCCCCUGUUUGAAUCCCUGGGAUAUGUGAGCUGUUUCUAUGCAUAAUGGAUAUUCGGGGUAAUGACACUCCGCUGUUUGGCUUCUAUUCUGAGUCUUGUCUUUUCACCAUGGGGUGCCUGAAGGGUGGCUGAUACAUGUGGUACAAUGGCACCCAAUAUAAAGCAGCUAAAACCAGGAGUGGAUGUGUUUUCGGGUAUCAAGAAGCCUAUUUAAUCUGGCCCGACAACUCUGUGUUUUCUGCUGCUUUUACUGGUGCCUGACUACCUUUCUGACUUUCAUUGACCAUUUUCCACGAGUAUAGUUGCUAUCCGUUACUUGCUCCUAUUUUCUAUCCCUAAUCUGUGGUUGGUAGUGAGCAGGCUUAUUUUUAAAUGGUGCUGCCCAGUCCACGUAAUUAAUGGUGCAGGUGGAUUUUUAGCAGGCUGGCUCCCUGGAACAGACUGAACCAGGCGUGGAAUUACUGAAGAUGUUUGGGGGUUUUUCUUUAUUAAGUGAAAGUUAACAUUCUCUGAAAAGUUUUGUUAGAACCUCUGAACCUCAAAAUCAGUAGAUUUGGGAAUAUUUCAAAGCUUAACUUUUUCCUGGCCUGCUUUCUCUUCUAUUUGCUUGCAAGUGUGUUACUAAGAUGGCCAAAAUGCCAGUUUUUGCUUCUUUGUUAAUUAUCAGCUGCUUUUAUCAAAUUCCAGGCCAUUAUCCAGCAAACACUAUAGAAAUGUUUGAACAGUUGGAUUUCAAACAUUUUCGUGUUGUGGAGUGGUGCUUACCAGUGGUACAGCUCUAAGCAAGUGAACACAAACACAUUUCAGUGUAUUUUGUCUGGUUAGGUGUUACCAGUUCUGCUGUUUCAUACAGAUGUCUGAAAAAAUCGAUUGACUAUUCCCUUUGUCUAAAGGGCAGAGACAGAUGAUCUCACUUCCAGAGAAAUGACUGUUUUGGAGAAAAAUGUGUUGUUCUUUUAGUUCUUUUGUAAUUCUGGAGGUACCUCAAAAGAAUCUUAAAGACUGUGGUGAUAAGAUGCUUUCCUCAGGAGAGAGAGAGGAGGAAAAAAACAACUGGAACUUAAGCUUGAAAUUCUGUGACAGAACGUGAGAUGUCCAGGAUAGGAGGUUGAAAGGAUUUCACUACAGUGUUCUGCACUAGCUGGAGCAGAUGUCUUUCAGUGUAGCCACGGCGUGGAUUCUGGAUUUUCAAGAACUGGACCUGAGACCUGGAAGAGCUUAUCAGGAUGUGGCAGGAACUCUGGAACUGGAUAGUUUUAUUUUUGAAUUUUGAGACUGUUGACCUUGCUUUGAGAAGAGAUGACUGAGCAAGCACUGCCACCAGCGCUGUUUCUGGGAAUUCGAACACCUGAGUUGCUGCCAGACCCUUGGUGCAAACUCUGGCAGCACUCCAUCCAAAGUGAGCUACGCCUACAGAUGUGGUACCUGGAUUUUUGCCCAUGGUGAUUGCUACCACCUUACUACUGAAGAAGACAUCAUUCCAGUGGACACUGUGACCCAAGAGGCAUUCAGCCAUCAUGAUGUGGCCUUUACCUCCACUCCUGUCCUGUUCUACCCAGAUUCAGCACAGCCCUUUAUAGUAAAGUCAAACUCUUCAAGCCAAAUAGCUGAAGUUGUUUUAUCACGACAAAGGCCCAGUUUGUUCCAUGAGUGUGCAUUUCGUUUCUUCGGUUCGAGCCUUCAGAGACACAUGAUAAAUUUGGACCAGGGGACUUUUAGUUAUCAACACUGUCUGAAGCAUGGCAACAUCUUUUUGAGAACAACAUUGGACCACACCCCAUAAUCUCAAAUGAUUGAAGUUCAUGAAGUGUCUAGGAUCCCAUUGAGAUCACUGGACUCUGUCCCUUUUGCUUCAAAUCUGUAGUAGCCUACUGAAUGAGAAAGCAGAUAUUAUGACCCAUUGGGAUUAAAACGGGCACAAUGAACUCCUCAUAGCAUCUUCUUUGGGAUUACUCAGGAACCAGAACUUUUCACACAAAUGUAAGAAAUUCUACCAAGGAAUCCCUUUGCCUAACAGCAUCUCACACAGCUCCAAUCAGAUGCCAGAAAAGGCCUCUUGAUACAUCCAGGUAGAACCUAUGUGGCAAUCCCUUAUGUUUAUUGAGCACUUUACAGUUUCAAAGCACUUUUACAUGCAUUAAUCUUAAUUAUCAAAAUAACAUAAAUUAUAAUCCCUUUUUGCAAAUGAGGAAACGGAAAUUUAAAAGGUUAUCAGAGGUGACACAGCUACAGAGUGAUAGAGGCCAGGCCUUCUGACUCCUAGUCCAGUUCUCUCCUUGGAAUUAACUUAGCCUCUACUUUACCUGCAGUGUUGAAAUGACUGGAGGUUGGGAACCUGAGAAGAGUUUCUAACUUCCUGGUCUGGUGCCCUCACUCAGUCAGGAUGUCAUAAAUGUAAUGCGAUAGCUGCUCCUAGACCAGAAUCCCAUGACAAUACCCCUGUUUAGAAGCAGACUGUCUCCUUGGUGGUAGACGGUCCAGUCAACGAGGCACAUGAUCAUCUGACAAAAGACUACCCAGCAUGAAACACAAAGCUGCUUUUAGACCUUUCAUCCAUCUUCAUGGUCUUCCCAAAGAUGGCCUAACUGAUUGGGGAUCCCCGUUCGUAUGUUGUCCCUUUUUGUUUUCUUUUUAGUCUUAUUAAUAUUCUUGAACACCAAGAUCUUAUCUGUGAUCCUCUGUGCCCAAACUAGUAUUUACAAAAAAUGAGCCAUCGAUUUUUUAGAGCAGUACUGUUCAUAUAUAUGUGUGUGUGUGCAUAUGACACAUAUAUAUCAUAGAGAGAGAGCUUUUUUAGUCAGUUAAGGUGGUAAAAUACUGUAAAACAUAUCCUGUUCCCUGAUUCAUAGUGCAGUGUAGUAUAUUAAAGGAUCCCAGAAGGCUUGCAGCAAAGAGCCUCAUUUUCGCUGUUUAGCCCAGUGUGUCCUAAGUUUAGUCAAGCACAGAAUGUUAUCUUUACAGCAUUCCUUUGAAUGGAAUGGGGAAACUGCUCUAGAGCAUAUGGCUAGUUCUUUGACUGCCGACAGAUUGCCCUGGAGACCCAGGAAUAAACAGGAUCUUUGAAACCCCCUUUUUCUUACUUUGUCAAUAACUAUUUGAAUUGGUGUAUCUCCAUCAUCUGAGAGUCCUGCUUCUUGACCAUUACAUUUAUUUUCUGACAGAGGAACCUGUAGAAGAUUUGUGGGGAUACAUGGGAGGGAAAUGGGGGAGAGUUCAUUCUGUCCCCAAAUUGAAUUCCAUGACAUUUAGUGAUAUAUUUCUCUGUCACUAGAAUUGUGCUGUAAGCCUAGUUCAAGGGCAUUGCAUCUCAGGUGGGUGAGGAGAUUGGGAAGGGAAGGGAGGAGGAAAAGGAUGGAGAAAAGGGGGAGGAGGGGUGAGAAGCAGAUACUUUUUCUUAGAAUUUGAGUUGUGGCCCAUUGAGAUCUUAUCAGUGCUUGAAGAGAAGUCAUCCAGCUAUGCUAUGGACUUCUUGGAAUAAUAUUUACAAAGAAAUGAAGGCAUUUUGCAGCUGUAUGCUGACUAAAAACCCCAGUGCUAUUGUCACUUAAGACCAAUAGUCUUGUUCUAUGAUAGUCACUUACAAGCUCAAUUUCAGGCAAUCAGAAUUUAUAGCAGACCUGAAUGUUAACUUCAUCAUUCUGUAAUGUGGCCCACAUAAGGGAAAGAAUGAAUAGGAAAACACCUUGGCUUACCACGGCUUUGCUCACACAGUUUCUGGUUUCUGUGACCUAUUUUUUGUAUUUCAGCAUUUUGUGAACACCUUAUUCUUAGAUCAUUGGUUUUCCAAAGGCUUUGUGGCCGUGAAGCCCUUUGAAUGAAAACUGUGUGGAAGCCCAGAGUAAGAGUGAAGCUGCUCUGGAUGAAGCAGGAGUAGGGGGCCUGAAACCUGCCACAAGCAUCUUCUUUUACCACCAUGGUGACACCUAAGGAGACUUCUUUACAACAGCUAGAAUUCUGCAGAACACAGUUUGAAAACCACUGCCCUAGACAGCAAUAUGUUCGACCUGAAUGACAUUUUCAUCUAUACCUCUGCCGAAACAGUCCAAGUUCAGUUGUUGCCGAACAUUCUAAGGGAUACUAACUAUGAGCCAACUCAGAAAAGGCCAAGAAGAUGGGCGUGUCUUUGCCCCCCAGAGUCAUAUGGGCUGAAAGUGGUAUCAGAUGGACCUAGAUUAACAGCCCUCUGCCCUAGAUGGACUUCCACUCAUUCCUGGAAUUGGAUAGAACCAGAGAACAAUUCAUAUGUACUCUACACUGACAAACCCCUUUACCCAACUUCUUUCACACACACCAGAUGUUCUAGUGGUACUUGAAAUACAUGACUUGGAAGUCUUGAUCCUCCUUAGAUACCUGAAUUGCCAGGUAUUGAAGCUGAUAUUGAAGUUGAUGCCUCAUUGAGGCCAUAUUAGACCAACUUGUACGUUGAACCUCCCGUCAUCGGCCAUGGUACUGUACUUCGUGUGCAAGGGAUAACCAUUAACUAUGAAAGCAAAAUUCAGAUACUGGCAACGUUACCUAAAAGGGUACCUGGUUAUCAUUCAUCUUAAACUACAAGUCACUGUGACUCAACCAGUGGCAGUUACACUGCUCCUUGGUUUUUAUUCAGUUUAACUGCUGUUUCCAAGAUAAAUGAGCUAAUAACCUUAAAAAAAAAAGUUAAAACAAUUUCUCCAUCACUGGCAUUUCUGCCUGUUCUGUUCCAAAAAUUAUGAAUACUCAGCUCUAACUGCAUGUAACCCCGAUCCACAAGAGACAAUCUUUGAAUAUCCUUACUUGGGUGUAAUUUAAAAUGUGGCUGUUUGGAAAAUUUUCUUCUAGCCCACAAGGGAUGUUCUUUUAAGAUAGAUCUUUUGAUGUCUGGUACUAUCAAGUAUAGAUGUUAGGGAUAUUUGGAGGUAGGCCUGUUGGCCAGGCCAUGAUGACUGACUUGCUUGGCAUCUCAAAUUGCAUAUCAUCUACCUUUUUGGUGGAAAUGUAGAAUGACUUGAAAAAAAGUCUACAAAGCUUGCAGCUAAGUAUUAUCAGUAGACUCAAGAGCUUCCUGCUGCUGCUGCUUAAUGUCACAAGACCACAGUCCCUCGUCCUUGUGGAUGUUUUAAUGGAAUUUCAUCUGUCUCAGUGCUGUUGUUUCACACUUAUUCACAGUGGCUGACUUCAUUCCUUGCCGUGAGAUAUUCUCAGGCUUUAAGACAAUUUAUCUGUUUCUGCAGGAAGGAUUCCAUUUAUGAACUCCCAGACCAAAUCACAUCAAACAAGUAGACUUCGAUUUGUGUCAUGAAAGAAAUCUCAUUCCUUUACUACACAGUCAACGUAAGGGCCAGCUGUCCUCAACUACUUUAACAAAUGCACUGGUUAAAUGUUGGGAAAGGUUUCUUUAUGUCUUUGUCUCUUAUCCUUAUGGUGGUUACAUGACUGGGUCUACAAAUCAUCAAACAAGGCCUAAGUCUGUUUACUCUAGACUGUUCACCCUCAACAAAUAAAAAAUCUGAUGACUAGCCUGCUUGUAUAUACAACUAUUAUUUGUAAAGAAGAAAUCAUCUACAAACUAAGUUUUUCUACUACCUUCAAAACGUCAGCUCAAUUUUCUCUUUCUCUGUACUUUACAGAAAAAGAUAUUCAUCUACACUGCCAGUCAUUCCCUUUAAUCCUGUCAAAAUGAGGGGCUUAAGAAUGAGGAUGAUCGUCUGUUCUAGAGUCUAAUGAACACUGUAUAAGAGUUGAUGGUUGAAAAACCAAAACGCCUGAAACUCAAACCUAGUAUCUUGCCUACUAUCUCCAUGCCUCAGAUCUCAUCAGUCAACCAAUCUGAGGCCUUGACUUAUAUAUAAGGUGAUUCUCACAGAUAGGCUGAGUUACAGAGGAUGGAGACUUGAUUACCAAAGAAAGUAGGGCCAAUCUUGAUAAACCUGGCUCUCCCAACCUUAUCAAUCCCAGAUGUAGCAUAGGUUCCUAAACAGAACCUCAAGUCUGAAUUGAGGAUAAAGCCGUCUCCUGAGCUGAAAGCUCUGGGGAAAUGAACAGGAAAAUGAAAGCUGCUGUGCCUGACUGGCCCUUUAAGAUCAGAAAAAUGUAUCCAGAGUAAAGCCUGUGGAUUAACCCUGGAGUACUCAGGAUAAGAACUGAUUUACAGAGCUUCAAUAGUCAUCAUCCUGUUCUUCCAGAUCACGUCUGGCUAAUAGUAUGGCUGGCCCUGCUGAUGGUACCCUACUUGCCUGGUUACCUGAUUCAGCCCUUGCCUGCCUUUUUGGACAUGUUGCUGCAAACAGACUGACUGUGCUUGAGAAGACUACCAGUGAUCUUGGCCUAACUUAUACCCAGGCCCACCAAGGAAUUUUGAACAGAAGCAACCUGCACCUCAGCCUACCAGGACUUAAUGUUCACAACAGGAAGGACCAUUCUGUGUAAUCCUUGACCAACAGCUUUUUCUUGUUGUUAAGUGCAGAGUAAGCCUCUACACCUGUAUUUGAUUGUUUUCAGCACCUGGGACCCCUUUGAUCAGAUCUGCAGGAGUACAGCAGAUUGAAAUCAUUGUCCAUUCCUCUCUCGUGCACUAAUACAGAGAUGAGUCUGAUUCAUCAGCACUCACAGAAAUGUACCAGUUCAACUUGGCAAAAGACUUAACACAAGAAAACUCUUCCACUGAACUUAAAAUUUACCACUGACUUGAAUAGCCUCACAGAACUGUUCACUGGUGGGAGGCUAGUUAUCCUGCUUUAUGUCAGCAAGACAGUUGGGCCUUCAGACUCAUGACCACUGAGUUUACUUAUAUUGAAACUCUGUUGUAUCAUCCAGAGUAUGCUAUUGAACAUGAUUGUUUCAUUCAAAUGGAUUACAAACUUCCUGUGAACAGGACAAACUUACUCCUCAUGAUGUUCUUCCAGAGUAUUAUCGAGGAAGUAACAAUGUUAGCAUCAACUUUAUGACCAGAGAUUAAACUUUUGCGUUAUCUGGUCUUAUCAUUGGCAGGAGUUGUUUUUGAUUGACCAGCAUCCAUUCCAUCUCUUUGUAACAACUCCCUGAUGUUUCUUGGAACCAUAUUUACCUGUUUUCAGUCCACAUGGUUCAGACCUGAUCCAUCAGCAUAGUCCAUCUCCUUGACUGUAGUGAUUGGUUCAGGAAUGUUCAUGUGAUUCAAGUUGGUCUAGUGAUACUGAAGCCCAGGAAUUUUACUGAACUGUGGAGGAGGAGAAGCUCAGAAGCUCUCUUUAUUGAAGUCGCUUAGCUUUGUAAGAUGAAAAACUCAAACCACCAGGGCCCACCAUAUCAAAUGAGCCAGUCAGAAAGUGCCAGUGCAGAAGAAAGCAGAGCCAAAUGAUGGAGAGACUUGAGUCCUGAUAACAAAGUUUGUGCCCCUGGAUCCAACCGUGCCUGAAGCUAGUAUAUCCCCUGGACUUUUCAGUUAUGUGAACCAAUAAAUACCCUGUUUUGCUUAAGUUACUUUGAGUUGGGUUUCUCUUGCUUGAAAUUGAGUCCUACCUGAUACAGUAUCUACCAAUAUCGAAACUUGACAGAUCCAAGUAUUUAUUAAAUUAGAGCUUAUGGCCAUACUGAAAUUAUCUUCCAAAUCGGAACGCAAAAUGAGACAGGAACUGACAAUAUUCAAGUUACUACAGAAGUAUGAAAAUUACAUGGUAGAAAAAUGUAGAAGAAAACUUAAAAGUUUAUCAAAAGGAUUGGUUAAAUAACACAUGGUUCAGCCAUAAAAGAAAAUCUAGGUGUCUGUUAAAAUGGAUGAAGUAAAUUUAUUGUGUGUAGACAUGGAAAAAUGGCCAUAAUAUAUUAAGUGAAACAAACUAUUGACAGGAAAAUGUAUGAACUCAUUUAAAAAUGUGCAUAUUUAUGUUUAUAAUGCAUAGAAAAGUCUAUUAAUGGCUUUCUUUGAACAGUGUAGAUUACAUGAGAUUUUCAACUUUAUACAUUUCUGUAUUUGAAUAUUUUACACUACUCACAUUACUUUUAAACUUUAUUUAAAAAUAAAGAAUUUUAAAAAUUAAAUUUAGUCCUUACUGUUUGACCUUGGCAAGUUACUUGACACUGAGCCUGUUUUGUGAAAUAAUUUAAAAUACUUGUCUUUAUAUUAGUGAAUAUUUUGAUAAACAUGUUCAUCAUCCUUUACUCAAACUGACAGAUUGUUGCACCUUUAUUUGUUUGAGGAACUCAAAGCUCAGUAAUUUUCUUAAUUUUUCAAACAUCUCUCUUUAAAUGUCGUGAGUGUCUUUGAAUUAUCAGGACUUCAUAGUUUCAAUGUUCAUCGAUUAUUAUUCCAGUUCUCAACUGAUGUUAAUCUAUUCAGACCUCUAUUGGAGUGUUCACAGUAGACAGAAGGAAAAAGUUAAAUCCUUGAGUGUUCUGAUCUCACUUCAAGCAGGGUCGAUAAUGACCUUUUCAUUGCUAAGUCCAUUACAUCUUAUCUGAACUUUAAGCAGUGCAGACAACUCCAGCCAGCAUCUUGCCGUUCUCUUCUCUUAGAUGCUGUGACACUUCCAAUUUUCUUCCUGGCUAUUGCUGCGUUAUAGGUUCUUUUCUUCUCCCCAUCAUUUUAGUAUUGGUUUAGUGGACAUUCAUCGAUCUUGCCUCUCCCAAAUCAUUUCCCCUUUCCUUUCAUGAUAGAUCCCCACUUUUCCUGUGGAAUGCAACUCUUUCCCAUUCUGUGGUUUUAGUAGAAUGGUAAAUUACAAUAUUCUGGCCUCUUACGCCCUUGGCUGAGGUUUGAUCAUGUGAUCCAAGCUUGUCCAAUCAAAAAUCCCCUCCCACCAGAGCUUCGAGUCU